UGUUGCUGUUGGUAUGGUGGGGGUGGGGCAUGUGGACUAGGGAGGUGGGGUAUGCAGACAGCUAGAGUCAAGGCAGUGCUGGAGUAUGGGGUCUAGUAGCCAUUAGUACACUGCCCUCCAGAAAAGUUGAGAUUAUUCAAAAUGGCCACAGACAUCUGGACAACUCAGUCCUGCCCUGGGCUUUAUUAUUAGUCAAACAGCAUGUAGUUUGUUAGGUAUAUUAUGGUAAAAUUUGUGGUUCAGGUCUUUACCUGUCACUGACUAAUCAAUCAGUCUUCAUCGCCCACCAAAACUUCUGAGAAGAGCCUAUGCAGAAAGAGAGACGCAACUCCUGGAAACUGUCUUCAGACUCUGUAGCAAGUGUGUGCCUGCAUGCAUGCACCCACCACCGCCGCCGCCACCACCACUGCCGCCGCCGCCACCUCCGCCGCUGCCCACCACCACCACCCUGAGAAUCUGAAGAAAUGCCCAGGGGGAAGUAUGUCUCCAGCACAGGAGGGGAAGCAGCCAGUGAGGAAAGAAAGGCAGCUGUUUCUCAGAAGCAGUUGGGAAAAAGCAAGUGCUUUAAGAAGGAAGAAGCUGGCAUCGUGCCUCCUGCUACUGCUGAACACUGAGACAGAGACAACAGAAUGACUGUGAAAUUGAGUUCAGGGAGGUCAAUGGUGUCCUUGGCAAGAGUAAGUUCCGCAGAAAGGAGGACGUGGAAGCCUGAUGGGAGCCAGUGGAAAACGGGACGACGCCGGCAGAGAUGGCGAUGGAGCUCUAGUCUGAAGUUGGAGUAUGUCCACAGGUUUACAUCAUGCCCCUACGGCUCCACACCCUUUCCUUGGAAGCUAAGACGAAAUCCUCAGUGCAUGAGCAGGCCACAUCACCCAGGUGACUUCUAUAUUCGUUCAGCCCAUGACACUUAAUAUUCUCCUGAAGUCAAAAAAAAUGACUAUACAAAAUCGGAAGACUCAUAAUCAGAUCUCCCACAACUUCUAAACACUCUACACAGGGGUUCCCAUCUCCAUUUGACAUAGGAAUUCCUUUUCCUCAACACAUUUCCUCAGCUUUCCAAAGUUCCCAUAAAAGGUCCUACACCAGUCCAUUUUCUGUUACUAAUAACACAAAGCCUUUGAUUGAAUGUGUUUUAUAGAAAAGAGGCUUAUUUGAGAUACUAAAUCUGGUCCAAGGUUGGGGGGGAACCACAUAUGGUGGUGACCUUCUUGCUGGCAGAGUCCCUGUGUGGCACAGGCAUUACAUGACAAGAAGACAAGGGCUGCAUGAGAGUGAGAGACUCUAAUAACAGACCUACUAGCAGCUAACCUACCAUGAACCCAUUCAUCCAUGGCUGUAUUAAUCCAUUCAUGAGGGCAGAGUUCUGAUUGCACCUUUUGGUGAAGCAUUCUUGCACUGUUGCUGAGUUGGGCCUGGAGCUUGUGAACCUUCUGCCUCAGUUUCCAGGGUUCUGGGAUUACCAUGCCCAUCUGCUCCCACUUCUUAAUAUUCAUGAUUUCAUGAUGAAGAUUUAUUUUCCACAUGAGUUUCAAGCUUACAAUAAAGCCCAUUCAUUAUGCCCAUGAGCAAGAUGACCCUCUCAUUGGGACCACUUAGUUCCUGAUCUCCUCUCCUCAAGGACUCUUGUCUGCCUCUAGCUCUACCUCAACCACUUUCAUGAUUAUAACCUAGACCUGGUGUGGUGGUUUGAAUUGGUUUGGCCCCAUAGAUUCAUGUGUUUGAAUGCUUGGCCUUAGGAACUGCCACUCUUAGGAGGUGUUGCCUUAAUAAGUGAGGCUUUGUUGGAGGAAGUGUGUAACUGCGGACAUGGGA
This is a long non-coding RNA of Mus musculus (house mouse), 1812 nucleotides long. RefSeq annotates it as predicted gene, 39515. The transcript is spliced from 3 exons. NCBI's taxonomy places the organism in Eukaryota, Metazoa, Chordata, Mammalia, Rodentia, Muridae. The record is from RefSeq and is a predicted model, not a curated record.